Non-coding RNA from Ornithorhynchus anatinus (platypus), 988 nucleotides. The record is from the annotation of a RefSeq genome assembly. NCBI's taxonomy places the organism in Eukaryota, Metazoa, Chordata, Mammalia, Monotremata, Ornithorhynchidae.
GGCCGGGCCCGCAGUCGGGGCCUCGGGGAGCGCAGCGCUUCGCUCAGUGUCCGCCAUGGCCCGCACGCCUCUCCUCCUCCUCCAUCUCCUCCUGGCGCUCUGCACAGGUUUCGUGAGGUCUGCGCCCACUCAACAGCCCUCGGCCUCUGUGGCCCUGGGCCAGACGGCCACACUCACCUGCUCCGGGGUUAGCGGUAGCUAUGCAGCCUGGUACCAGCAGAAACCCGGACGGGCCCCUGUACUGGUUAUAUACCAGAAUGACAAGCGACCCUCCGGGAUCCCCGACCGGUUCUCCGGCUCCAAGUCCGGGAGCACGGCCACGCUGACCAUCGCCAAGGCCCAGGCCGAGGAUGAGGCCGAUUAUUACUGUCAGGAUGCUAACUAUUAUGCUCACACUGAUACAGGGUGAUGGGGAAGUGAGACAAAAACCUCGAUCCCCAUGGGUCAGUCCUGGCCUGCCCCUUCCUGCCAGAUGAUGCCCUGUACCCGGAGAGGGAGGGGCACUCUGCACUCCAGCUUCCCGACCUACUCCUGUGCCCUUCACCCUCCAUCACUCCUUCAUCGCCUCCAAAACGGUCUCUGUCUAAGUCCCGUUGGGCCCCACCUCCUUCCUCCAACCGUCCUGUUCCCCACAGCACCAGGGGAUCCACAGCCGCUCAGGGCUCUGGGGCCUCCAUUCCCGUCGAGGCCCCUCUGAGGAAGGAGUUGCCGCCAUCGUUAUCGUACUCAUCGCCACCGCCAUCGGAUUCGUCGCCUCAUCAUCAUUUUCCUCCUCUCCACCAUCAGCCUCCUUCACAUAUUGUGUACAAGGUAGCCUACUGGGCAUUUCAGGAUCCCACUGCACUAGAAAAGAUUUACCGAGCACUUACUGUGGGUAGAACUGUCUUCAGCACUUGAGAGAGUACGAUCCACCCCACUCUCAAACCCUCAGCACUUAUGUACAUUUCUUCAAAUUAGAUAUGAUAAAUUACGAAAUUGUUUACGUGAA